Molecule: ribosomal RNA, 292 nt
Filed under: uncultured bacterium
Lineage: Bacteria
Description: partial 16S ribosomal RNA
Rfam family: Bacterial small subunit ribosomal RNA
Source: RNAcentral
GUGCCAGCCGCCGCGGUAAGACGGAGGGUGCAAACGUUGUUCGGAAUCACUGGGCAUAAAGCGCACGUAGGCGGUGCACUAAGUCAGGUGUGAAAGCCCCCGGCUCAACCGGGGAAUGGCAUCUGAUACUGGUGUGCUCGAGGACGGUUGGGGUGAGUGGAACUCCUGGUGGAGCGGUGAAAUGCGUAGAUAUCAGGAGGAACACCGGUGGCGAAAGCGGCUCACUGGGCCGUCUCUGACGCUGAGGUGCGAAAGCUAGGGUAGCGAACGGGAUUAGAUACCCCUGUAGUCC